Molecule: ribosomal RNA, 161 nt
Filed under: uncultured bacterium
Lineage: Bacteria
Description: partial 16S ribosomal RNA
Rfam family: Bacterial small subunit ribosomal RNA
Source: RNAcentral
CUAAGAAUAUUCCGCAAUGGACGAAAGUCUGACGGAGCGACGCCGCGUGGAUGAAGAAGGCCGAAAGGUUGUAAAAUCCUUUUGCUGAUGAAGAAUAAGUGUGGUUAGGGAAUGACCGCAUGAUGACAUUAGUCGGUGAAUAAGCCCCGGCUAACUACGUG